AUGACUGUUGUUGUAAAGUGGCUCACAAUUCAGUCUUAUGCCUUAAGAGGCCAUGAUGAGAGAUCAGAGUCAAGAAACAAAGGUAACUUUUGUGAGAUGUUGAAGCUUCUUGCAGAAUUUUGUCCUGAUGUUCAAGCUGUAGUUCUUGGGAAUGCUCCACAAGUUUGCAAAUACAGAUCACAUGAAAUUCAAAAUGAGAUCUUGAGCAUUUAUGCUAUGAAAGCCAGGGAGCAUAUUUGAGCAGAAAUUUGGGACUCAAAGUACUAUAUUCUUGUGGAUGAAACAUGUGAUGUGUUCAAAAGAGAGCAAACGACACUAGUUUUCAGAUUUGUUGAUAAAGAUGAUUAUUCCCAAGGAAGAUUCUUUCAUCUCAUACAUGUAGCCAACACAAAAGCACUAACACUAAAGAUGGAGUUAUGUUCAGUAUUAUCCAAGCAUUGA
This 441-nucleotide ribosomal RNA is filed under the name Triticum aestivum (bread wheat). Its description in RNAcentral is "partial small subunit ribosomal RNA". The record is from RNAcentral. Lineage: Eukaryota; Viridiplantae; Streptophyta; Magnoliopsida; Poales; Poaceae.